Xenopus tropicalis (tropical clawed frog) is the source of this 3535-nucleotide long non-coding RNA. RefSeq lists it as uncharacterized. NCBI's taxonomy places the organism in Eukaryota, Metazoa, Chordata, Amphibia, Anura, Pipidae. The record is from RefSeq and is a predicted model, not a curated record. The transcript has 3 exons.
GAUCGGGAUUAGGAGUGAUGCCAAGUUCUGCAGUAAUAGUAAAAGAACAUAAAGAUUAUUACUUCUUAGGGUCCCUCCAACAUUUGUCACAAAAUACAGGGAGUAGGAUGCUACAAAAAUAUAAAAAUAUUUUUCAUGACUCUUUGGUCUAGAGGGCUUCACUGUUAACAUAGGGGGUGCCUUUUCUCUCCAGAAGGUGACUUGGUGGUACCCCAAGGAAAUCAAUGGGCUUCAGCAGUUUAGAGUUGAUUUUCAGCAUCUGGAUUUUGCCCCCACCCUGUUGAGCAAAGAAGAAGUAGGAGAAAAAAAGAGAAAAUAAACUGUGUUUCCCACAAACCCAUCUUGCAGCAUAAGCCAAUCACUGGGCCAAGAACAAACAACCCCUGGGGAUGAGGAAUUCUUCCAUCUCCAAAAAUGAGGAGCUGCUCCACUUGUGCCCUCCCUCUGCCCUGAAUGGCUCCUGACCUGCAGCGGCUGCACCCUUCUUAGUGCCGACUCACUCAGGAGAGAAUGUAGAUCCUCUGUCUCCAGAUAUUGAAUGUACAGUGACAACAACCUGGAGGUUUUAUUUUCUGGGUGCAUCUUGACCCCCACUAUGCCAGUUACACCCGUGCCCACAACCCCAAUCCUGCUCCCUGCUAUGGCAGAAUCUGCCAGGUUCACACAUGGAGCUUGAAGUGAAUGUAGGAUGAAAAUGCUGAAGAAAAAAGCCACAGCACCUCCCCCCUCUCCCUAUAACGAAGUACUGUGUGUGCCCUCCUGAAACCUUGUCUGCACCUUCAUCAUUUAUCAUUAAAAUGCCCAUCUGUGCCAUGGGACUUGCUCCUCCUGCUUAAACCCAGACUUCCUGCUGAUUCUAUGAGCACACUGGGCUCCUGAUCAUGGUACACAGUCCUGUUUGUCUGACCCACUGUUUGGCUUUAGAGUUUUGCCUGAUUUUAGCUGUUGCCUCCUGUCGCUAACGUGCCAACUCAGCCUGCUUUUUCAGAAGCCACCCUACUGUGCCCCUCUCUUACCAUGUGACCUACAGUAACAGCCCAGUAGGGUUGCAGGGUAGGAUAUGGAGCAAUACAGGGGAAAAAAAGGUAAGUUUGGGUUGGAAUGGAGGGCAGGCCAGAGACUUAUCUUGAGGCUGGUAAAUUUGUAAUAUACUGGCCCCGCUCUUGGCAGGUGUUUUACCAUCUAGGGCAGUAAAAUACCGGCCGGUGGUGACACUACAGCCCAGUCACUUGCUCUUACAAUUUCCACACAUAUUUUACUUAGCUAAUUGCCUGGAUAGAAGGGAAGGGGGGUGUUUGCAGGCAGAACCAGUAUGGCUUGUGAAUAACAGGGGCAUGGCCAAGAUGCACACAGUUUAUAAUACAACCAUGUUGGUGUCUGUGCUUUGACCUAAACAAUUCAUGAAAAGUAAAUGUUCUAUUUCUUUCUAAAUCACCUGAAUGUGGAGUUGCCACUUUUGCCAGCGGGUAUUGGACUGACCAGGCUGGUAAAUUACUGCCCACACCCGAUCCACCCAUUUCCCACCCCUUACAUUUUAGCCCCUACCCAAAAUGAUGUCACAACCCACACACAGCUCAUACUGGGCCCACAUAAUGGUACGCUAUUGGAUGAUGAGGGUACCAACCAAUGGAGGCUAGGAUGGAGGGAAUUUAUUUAAGUUUUACAUUGCCCCAAACAGACACACACAUUAGUCACAUUCAUAUACGUACCAAUGCUAAUAGGCACACACUUACUCAUAUUCAUUUAAUAAUUACAAACACAUGUAUGCACAGUAUAAACAGUAUAUUCAUACCUGGCAUGGCGGGGAGUCCAUGAGUACCAAGUGUAACCACGUGUAAUCAGCUAUCCAUUCCUGGGGUUCUUUAAAUGGCACCACUACCUCUCUGAGCGGCGUGCCCCUACAGAAACACAUCUGCAUAGGGAGCAUAUUUACUGAGGAAAUGCAGCAUUGCUGUAUAUACUGGGGUGACCAGAUCACUUGAAAAUUCAGGGAUACAUGGAGUUUUUAGACGUGUCCCUGAAUUUCCAAGUGAUCUGAUCACCCCAGUAUAUAAGGAAUCCAUUGCUUAAUUGCUGAUGUUAUUUCAUGGCUCACACAUUAUUAAUAUGUUUUUAAGAGGUAUGGCAGUGAAAUCCAUAUAUACAGUUUAUUGGGCCCACAGAACAGAUGGAAGUCUAGGCUGUUUACUUAAAUGCUUUGGUCUUUUUCCAGGAUUUUGCUAAUGAGGUAAUUUGCUAAUUAAUACUUGGCUGUAUCCAGCAUAUAUAGAUAAGAAGUUGGUGUUCAUAUUGUGUAUGCAUUGCAGUGGCAAAUAAUUAUUUUCCCCAGAAAUCAAAUGCCCGCAAGUGGCAGGAUAUUAUUGUAGUGUGAUGCUACGGGUGGGGGCCAAAUUACACUUUUACUACUACAGAAGCCUGAUGGGCAGAGGGAGAUUUUUGUAUUUGGGGAGCCCCUUUGCUGUUGGGGCUAUAGGAUGAUAUAUGACUAUAGGAGGGGUGAAAGGUGGACCCCAGAACAUAAAUGUGUUUGCCAGUCUGCGUGUCACCACUCCAUUUACCUACAAAGGGACACUAUUUAUUUAAUAGGAUUAGGAGCAUAGACAGGUGAACAGGGGCAUCUUGACCACCACUGUUCUCCACCAGAGGGCAGCACUGGUCAGGGCACCCUAUAAGCCAGUUUGGUACCUUCUUAUUAAGUAAAUCAGUAUCAGUUCUAAGCCUUUAUAUGUUCCCAGUCUGCCUAGCAAAUUCAGCAUAUGUUUUUCCCCACACAAAACAAGAUUUCAUGCAAGUGUAGCACCAAACACACGGCACAUUACAUCUGUUAAUGAGAGUGACUGACGGUUCUGCUAAACUCCAACAGAUCCAGCAGCCUGUCAGUAACGUGGGCAGUUACCUGGCACCUACUCCCAUUGUUCCCUAUAGAUCUCUGCAGAUUGAACUCUAAAGCGGCAAAAUGUCUGCAAGGCUGGAUGUUGGGAGAGUUGGUAAAGGGUGGGCUGCUCACUUAGCAGGAAGACUGGGUACAAUAUCUAGGGGUAAAAAUUGGGUGAUUGAGGUAGAUCCACACUGCAACCCUCCAGCUAUUGCUGAGAGCUGACGUUAAACAACAGAAAGAGACAUAGAGGGUGAAUAACAGAUGUUAUUGAAAAUAUUCUGUGUAAUUUAAUCAACAUUGUCUCUUCAAGGGGACACCUGUUAGCCUUGGGAUCAAGGGCAACUUACCUCUCAGCCCAAGCCUAGCAACUUCACUCAAUAGUUUGGCUAGUUAAGCUGUAACUCUAUGCUGGCUGCUAUUGGAAAAUGGAACAACUUAACUCUGACUUAGGGUGGGGGCUCAACUGCAGCUCACUAUCUGCCUGCUUAAAGGACAAUGGAAGUCAAAUUAUCUAGGGCAGCCGCCUAUGACACCAGUUGAACACUCCGCGGGAGUCCUGAUGCUGCUGAACCUGACAGCGCCAACAUCUAUGCAGACUGGGACAGAGGAAGAGCACAGUUCCAGACCAAACAUACACAUAAUGACCUCCUUGCAAUG